GACGAACGCUGGCGGCGCGCCUAACACAUGCAAGUCGAACGAGCGAGGGAGAGCUUGCUUUCUUGAGCGAGUGGCGAACGGGUGAGUAACGCGUGAGGAACCUGCCUCAAAGAGGGGGACAACAGUUGGAAACGACUGCUAAUACCGCAUAAGCCCACGGUGCCGCAUGGCACAGAGGGAAAAGGAGCAAUCCGCUUUGAGAUGGCCUCGCGUCCGAUUAGCUAGUUGGUGAGGUAACGGCCCACCAAGGCGACGAUCGGUAGCCGGACUGAGAGGUUGAACGGCCACAUUGGGACUGAGACACGGCCCAGACUCCUACGGGAGGCAGCAGUGGGGAAUAUUGCACAAUGGGGGAAACCCUGAUGCAGCGACGCCGCGUGGAGGAAGAAGGUCUUCGGAUCGUAAACUCCUGUUGUUGGGGAAGAUAAUGACGGUACCCAACAAGGAAGUGACGGCUAACUACGU
RNAcentral lists this ribosomal RNA (465 nucleotides) under uncultured bacterium. RNAcentral's name for it is "partial 16S ribosomal RNA". It matches the Rfam family "Bacterial small subunit ribosomal RNA", at positions 28 to 506 of the family's 1533-position model. The record is from RNAcentral.